CAUCCUCCAAGGCUAAAUACUCCUGACUGACCGAUAGUGAACCAGUACCGUGAGGGAAAGGCGAAAAGAACCCCGGCGAGGGGAGUGAAAAAGAACCUGAAACCGUGUACGUACAAGCAGUGGGAGCACAGGUUUACCUGUGUGACUGCGUACCUUUUGUAUAAUGGGUCAGCGACUUAUAUUCUGUAGCAAGGUUAACCGAAUAGGGGAGCCGGAGGGAAACCGAGUCUUAAUUGGGCGUUAAGUUGCAGGGUAUAGACCCGAAACCCGGUGAUCUAGCCAUGGGCAGGUUGAAGGUUGGGUAACACUAACUGGAGGACCGAACCGACUAAUGUUGAAAAAUUAGCGGAUGACCUGUGGCUGGGGGUGAAAGGCCAAUCAAACCGGGAGAUAGCUGGUUCUCCCCGAAAGCUAUUUAGGUAGCGCCUCGUGAAUUCAUCUCCGGGGGUAGAGCACUGUUUCGGCUAGGGGGCCAUCCCGGCUUACCAACCCGAUGCAAACUGCGAAUACCGGAGAAUGUUAUCACGGGAGACACACGGCGGGUGCUAACGUCCGUCGUGAAGAGGGAAACAACCCAGACCGCCAGCUAAGGUCCCAAAGUCAUGGUUAAGUGGGAAACGAUGUGGGAAGGCCCAGACAGCCAGGAUGUUGGCUUAGAAGCAGCCAUCAUUUAAAGAAAGCGUAAUAGCUCACUGGUCGAGUCGGCCUGCGCGGAAGAUGUAACGGGGCUAAACCAUGCACCGAAGCUGCGGCAGCGACGCUUAUGCGUUGUUGGGUAGGGGAGCGUUCUGUAAGCCUGUGAAGGUGGCCUGUGAGGGUUGCUGGAGGUAUCAGAAGUGCGAAUGCUGACAUAAGUAACGAUAAAGCGGGUGAAAAGCCCGCUCGCCGGAAGACCAA
This 897-nucleotide ribosomal RNA is filed under the name Salmonella enterica subsp. enterica serovar Dublin. RNAcentral describes it as "partial 23S ribosomal RNA". It matches the Rfam family "Bacterial large subunit ribosomal RNA", at positions 454 to 1348 of the family's 2925-position model. The record is from RNAcentral. Lineage: Bacteria; Pseudomonadati; Pseudomonadota; Gammaproteobacteria; Enterobacterales; Enterobacteriaceae.